GUAAGUAUAGUUUAAUCAAAACAUCAGACUGUGAUUCUAAAAACAGAGGUUAAAAUCCUCUUACUCACC
RNAcentral lists this transfer RNA (69 nucleotides) under Triplophysa baotianensis. RNAcentral describes it as "tRNA-His". It matches the Rfam family "tRNA". From Rfam's summary of the family: Transfer RNA (tRNA) molecules are approximately 80 nucleotides in length. Their secondary structure includes four short double-helical elements and three loops (D, anti-codon, and T loops). Further hydrogen bonds mediate the characteristic L-shaped molecular structure. tRNAs have two regions of fundamental functional importance: the anti-codon, which is responsible for specific mRNA codon recognition, and the 3' end, to which the tRNAs corresponding amino acid is attached (by aminoacyl-tRNA synthetases). tRNAs cope with the degeneracy of the genetic code in two manners: having more than one tRNA (with a specific anti-codon) for a particular amino acid; and 'wobble' base-pairing, i.e. permitting non-standard base-pairing at the 3rd anti-codon position. Lineage: Eukaryota; Metazoa; Chordata; Actinopteri; Cypriniformes; Nemacheilidae. The record is from RNAcentral.